This 169-nucleotide non-coding RNA is filed under the name Tryblionella compressa. Lineage: Eukaryota; Bacillariophyta; Bacillariophyceae; Bacillariales; Bacillariaceae. The record is from RNAcentral.
GGACGUGGUGGAGGCCAGUAAUCUGAGGUUCGAUUCGAUUGGGUUGGUGGGAAGAGACGAGGAGACGGCCAUUCUUUCGGGGUGUUUGGGACGAUUGAUGACGGGACGUUCGUCUCGAGAAUUGGUGUUCAUCAAGGGAGAACCGGGAAGCGGCAAAACUGCCUUGUCG